GAUGAACGCUGGCGGCGUGCCUAAUACAUGCAAGUCGAGCGAAUGGAUUAAGAGCUUGCUCUUAUGAAGUUAGCGGCGGACGGGUGAGUAACACGUGGGUAACCUGCCCAUAAGACUGGGAUAACUCCGGGAAACCGGGGCUAAUACCGGAUAACAUUUUGAACCGCAUGGUUCGAAAUUGAAAGGCGGCUUCGGCUGUCACUUAUGGAUGGACCCGCGUCGCAUUAGCUAGUUGGUGAGGUAACGGCUAACCAAGGUAACGAUGCGUAGCCGACCUGGGAGGGUGAUCGGCCACACUGGGACUGAGACACGGCCCAGACUCCUACGGGAGGCAGCAGUAGGGAAUCUUCCGCAAUGGACGAAAGUCUGACGGAGCAACGCCGCGUGAGUGAUGAAGGCUUUCGGGUCGUAAAACUCUGUUGUUAGGGAAGAACAAGUGCUAGUUGAAUAAGCUGGCACCUUGACGGUACCUAACCAGAAAGCCACGGCUAACUACGUGCCAGCAGCCGCCGUAA
This 515-nucleotide ribosomal RNA is filed under the name uncultured bacterium. Its description in RNAcentral is "partial 16S ribosomal RNA". It matches the Rfam family "Bacterial small subunit ribosomal RNA", at positions 28 to 523 of the family's 1533-position model. The record is from RNAcentral.